Molecule: ribosomal RNA, 796 nt
Filed under: uncultured bacterium
Lineage: Bacteria
Description: bacterial SSU rRNA
Rfam family: Bacterial small subunit ribosomal RNA
Source: RNAcentral
AGAGUUUGAUCCUGGCUCAGGAUGAACGCUAGCGAUAGGCCUAACACAUGCAAGUCGAGGGGCAGCAUAGAGUAGCAAUACUUUGAUGGCGACCGGCGCACGGGUGAGUAACACGUAUGCAACCUACCUACAUCAGGGGAAUAACCCGGAGAAAUUCGGACUAAUACCGCAUAAUACAGGGAUGCCGCAUGGUAAUAUUUGUUAAAGAUUUAUCGGAUGUAGAUGGGCAUGCGUUCCAUUAGCUAGUUGGUAAGGUAACGGCUUACCAAGGCAACGAUGGAUAGGGGAACUGAGAGGUUUGUCCCCCACACUGGAACUGAGACACGGACCAGACUCCUACGGGAGGCAGCAGUGAGGAAUAUUGGUCAAUGGACGAGAGUCUGAACCAGCCAAAUCGCGUGAAGGAAGACUGCCCUACGGGUUGUAAAUUUCUUUUGUUCAGGAAUAAAAGACAUUACGUGUAAUGUAUUGCAUGUACUGUACGAAUAAGCAUCGGCUAACUCCGUGCCAGCAGCCGCGGUAAUACGGAGGAUGCGAGCGUUAUCCGGAUUUAUUGGGUUUAAAGGGUGCGCAGGCGGGAUUUUAAGUCAGCGGUGAAAUUUUCAGGCUCAACCUGAACACUGCCGUUGAAACUGGGAUUCUUGAGUAUGGAUGAAGUAGGCGGAAUUCGUUGUGUAGCGGUGACAUGCUUAGAUAUAACGAGGAACUCCGAUUGCGUAGGCAGCUUACUAAGCCAUAACUGACGCUCAAGCACGAAAGCGUGGGGAUCAAACAGGAUUAGAUACCCUGGUAGUCG